GCGGCGAUAGCUCUGUGGGUAAAGCGCCAGAUGGCGAUUACUCCGAGAGCUAUUAUCUGCGCGGGUUCGAAUCCCGCCUGUGGCA
This is a non-coding RNA of Aromia moschata, 85 nucleotides long. The record is from the annotation of a GenBank genome assembly. Lineage: Eukaryota; Metazoa; Arthropoda; Insecta; Coleoptera; Cerambycidae.